AAGACUAUACUUUCAGGGAUCAUUUCUAUAGUUUCUUACUAGAGAAGUUUCUCUGACUGUGUAGAGCACCGGAAACCACGAGGAGGAGGUGCAGCGUUCUCUCCUGAGCGUGAAGCUGGCCCUGGGUGUUGCUCUGUGCAAAUGCCCUUUGCCAUUGAUGAUCGUAAAAAAUAAUAAUAAUAAUAAUAAUAAUAAUAAUAAUUUAA
Jaculus jaculus (lesser Egyptian jerboa) is the source of this 206-nucleotide small nucleolar RNA. RefSeq annotates it as small nucleolar RNA U3. NCBI's taxonomy places the organism in Eukaryota, Metazoa, Chordata, Mammalia, Rodentia, Dipodidae. The transcript has a single exon. The record is from RefSeq and is a predicted model, not a curated record.